Molecule: non-coding RNA, 46 nt
Organism: Alligator mississippiensis (American alligator)
Lineage: Eukaryota; Metazoa; Chordata; Crocodylia; Alligatoridae
Source: Rfam
CCAAGGGCUCUUUUAAGAGCCACCCACCUCAUCUGGAAAAGAGCUG